UGAAGACUAACUUCGUUCAUAAUCUACAGUAAUCAAUUAUAGCUACUAUUAACCUUACACAGUUUGUAGUCAGUUUCCACCCCUCCUUAUCUAUUACGGCGUCGUCGCUAGUGACUCAUUUUCAAGCUUAUUGGAUCUCACCAUUGGGGACUGAAUAGCGUAGGCAUCGUAAGUGUCACGUGCGUCACGUCAGUCAGCGUAGCUGCCCGACGCUCAACUCGGAUGGUGUGGAACUCGACGAUUGAAGAUGAAGGAUUCACGCCUAGCAGCAGGGCCGGACGGAGGAAUUGCCAGGCUGACGGAACAGGCGCUGGACUUAGAAGAAAGAAUAACCAGGGCCUGAAAGAGCGGAGCUGGACUAAGGGCUGACUGAAGCGACUUAAAAGGAAAAAAAAAUGCUCGGAGGCAAGGUAGUGAGGAAGGACAACAGUAUUGAUUUUCUGGGGACUAUGAAAACUACGAAAAGCUGUCUUCCUAUGUGUCCUCCUUUUCCUUCUGCUUACUCAUCUCUCUGAAUAAAGAUGUCGCUAACUCAUGGCGGAGACAGAGCUGUCGGGCCGGAGGGGAAUGAACACUGACCAAGUGUCGGGGAAGGAGAGGAGGAUGCUGAUCAGGCGAAAAGAAAGAAGAGGCAAGCCGAAGAUGUUUUGUUGAUUUUGCAAGAGUCGGGCGGUAAAUCACUGUCGUCUGAGGUGGAGGUUGUUUGGUUACGCUGGGGACAAGAUGGAAGGACAGCCCGUCGCCUGGUUGUAGACGCCGGAGAGUGCGACUCUUACAUAACAUCGUGACAUGUCGUUGGCUUUGACGGAUCCCUCAAGGCUUCCCUGAUAUAGGGUCAGACUCAGUUAUGU
Molecule: small RNA, 851 nt
Filed under: Cryptococcus neoformans H99
Lineage: Eukaryota; Fungi; Basidiomycota; Tremellomycetes; Tremellales; Cryptococcaceae
Description: Cryptococcus neoformans var. grubii H99 hypothetical RNA
Source: RNAcentral